This 237-nucleotide ribosomal RNA is filed under the name uncultured eukaryote. RNAcentral describes it as "partial small subunit ribosomal RNA". It matches the Rfam family "Eukaryotic small subunit ribosomal RNA", at positions 587 to 826 of the family's 1831-position model. The record is from RNAcentral.
AGCUCCAAUAGCGUAUAUUAAAGUUGUUGCGGUUAAAAAGCUCGUAGUUGGAUUUCUGUCCGGGGCGACCGGUCCACCCAUCGGGUGAGCAUCUGGUCCGCUUUGGGCAUCCUUCUGGGGAACGCAUCUGCACUUGACUGUGUGGUGUGCGGAAUCUAGAACUUUUACUUUGAGGAAAUUAGAGUGUUCACUGCAGGCGUCCGCCUUGAAUAUAUUAGCAUGGAAUAAUAAGAUAGG